GGGUGUGAGGGUAGUCUGGCCACAUCUGUCACCUCAUUGAUCGCCACACUGGCUUCAUUAGUUCUGGCUGGCUAGGCGGAAGUCCCCUUCCUCCCUUACCUCUCCUUGUUUCUCCUCUUCAGCUGCACGCUGUCAAAGCUGGCGUCUUUCCCUAAUAGACUGCGCUAUUCUUUGGAGAAGAGGAUAUACUAUCGAGGAAUAAGCUCACUUGACUCAAGAGCCCCUUAAAUCAUCUUAGUUCCAACAUGGUCUAAGCAAAAUAUAAUAUAAGCCUGUCUAAAAUACUAUGUGAAACUUCUUGGUACAAUUAAUAUUUUU
RNAcentral lists this small nuclear RNA (318 nucleotides) under Dipodomys ordii (Ord's kangaroo rat). RNAcentral's name for it is "7SK RNA (ENSDORG00000023023.2)". The stretch from base 1 to 191 matches the Rfam family "7SK RNA". Rfam says of the family: 7SK was discovered as an abundant small nuclear RNA in the mid-70s but a possible function has only recently been suggested. Two independent studies have found that 7SK RNA binds the CDK9/cyclin T complex (known as elongation factor P-TEFb). Lineage: Eukaryota; Metazoa; Chordata; Mammalia; Rodentia; Heteromyidae. The record is from RNAcentral.